UCGUUCGUUGUGUUGGCGAAUAGGCGUAGUAACAGAGGGUUCGAUUAUGGCUCAGAUUGAACGCUGGCGGGAUGCUUUACAUGCAAGUCGAACGGCAGCACGGACUUCGGUCUGGUGGCGAGUAGCGAGCGGGUGAGUAAUAGGAACGUGCCCUGGUGGCGGGGGAUAACUACGCGAAAGCGCCAGCUAAUACCGCAUACGCUGUCGAGGGGAAAGCGGGGGGACCUUCGGGCCUCGCACUAUUAGAAACGGCCGAUAUCGGAUUAGCUAGUUGGUGGAGUAACGGCUCACCAAGGCGACGAUCCGUAGCUGGUUUGAAGGACGACAAAGCCACACUGGGACUGAGACACGGCCCAGACUCCUACGAAUAGCAGUGGGGCCUGGACAAUGGGGAAACCCUGAUCCAGCCAUCCCGCGUAUUGAUGAAGCCUUCGGGUUGUCAACACUUUGGCGGGAAAGAAACGGCACGGGAUAAUACCCCAUUCGGCGAAAAUGACGUACCUGCAGAAUAAGCACCGGCUAACUACGUGCCAGCAGCCGCGGCAAUACGUAGGGCCGCAAGCGUUAAUCAAAUUACUGGGCGUAAAGCGUGGGCGGUUCGGAAAGAAGAUGAAAUCCCAGAGCUUAACUUUGGAACUGCAUUUUUAACUACCGAGCACAAGUGUAAUCAGAGGAGGUGGGUCCGCGAUGUAGCAGUGAGAAAUGCGUAGAUAUGCCGGAGGAACACAGAUGGCGAAGGCGGCCUCCUGGGAUAACACUGACGCUCUUUUUGCGAAAGCGUGAGGGAGCAAACAGGAUUAGAUGCCUAGUGGCGGUACGCCUAAACGAUGUCAACUAGCUGUUGGGGCCUUCGGGCCUUGGUGGCGCAACUAACGCGUGAGUUGACCGCCUGGAGUGCAGUGCAGAUUAAAGACUCAAAGGAAUUGACGGGGACCCGCACAAGCGGUGGAUGAUGUGGAUUAAUUCGAUGCAACGCGAAAAACCUUACCUACCCUUGACAUGUCUGGAAUCCCGAAGAGAUUUGGGAGUGCUCGCAAGAGAACCGGAACACAGGUGCUGCAUGGCUGUCGUCAGCUCGUGUCGUGAGAUGUUGGGUUAAGUCCCGCAACGAGCGCAACCCUUGUCAUUGAGUGCUACGAAGAACUCUAAUGGGAAGCUGCCGGUGACAAACGGAGGAAGGUGGGGAUGACGUCAGUCCUCAUGACCCUUAUGGGUGAGACUUCACACGUCAUACAAUGGUCGGGACAGAGGGUCGCCAACCCGCGAGGAGCCAAUCUGAAGCCCGAUCGUAGUCCGGAUCGCAGUCUGCAACUCGACUGCGUGAAGUCGGAAUCGCUGGUAAUCGCGGAUCCAGCAUGUCGCGGUGAAUACGUUCCCGGGUCUUGUACCCCGCACCGCCCGUCACACCAUGGGAGUGGGUUUUACCAGAAGUAGUUAGCCUAACCGUAAGGAGGGCGAUUACCACGGUAGGAUUCAUGACUGGGGUGAAGUCGUAACAAGGUAG
RNAcentral lists this ribosomal RNA (1504 nucleotides) under uncultured Bordetella sp. Its description in RNAcentral is "partial 16S-23S ribosomal RNA intergenic spacer". It matches the Rfam family "Bacterial small subunit ribosomal RNA". Lineage: Bacteria; Pseudomonadati; Pseudomonadota; Betaproteobacteria; Burkholderiales; Alcaligenaceae. The record is from RNAcentral.